GUUUGUUUGUGUAGUCACUCUCUCAAUCAAGGUGGUCGUUUGUCUCGUCAGGUGUCUUCAUACACGUCAGCAGAUCCUGGAAGUCAGCGUUAGUCGAGGUCAGUAUCCAGUGUGUCCAGACCGUCAUGUACGUCUGGGUCCUCCCCUCUGCCAGCAGGGAGAGCUCUUCCAGAGCUCUCAGCUCCUCCAUUUUUUGGUACCACGUCCCCAACGGGGGCGCACAUUGUUUUUUCCAGUAGAG
This is a non-coding RNA of Pelobates cultripes (western spadefoot toad), 241 nucleotides long. NCBI's taxonomy places the organism in Eukaryota, Metazoa, Chordata, Amphibia, Anura, Pelobatidae. The record is from the annotation of a GenBank genome assembly.